This 462-nucleotide ribosomal RNA is filed under the name uncultured bacterium. Its description in RNAcentral is "partial 16S ribosomal RNA". It matches the Rfam family "Bacterial small subunit ribosomal RNA", at positions 28 to 507 of the family's 1533-position model. The record is from RNAcentral.
GACGAACGCUGGCGGCGUGCUUAACACAUGCAAGUCGAGCGACGCUCUUCCUUCGGGGAGCUGACGGAGCGGCGAACGGGUGAGUAACACGUGGGCAACCUGCCCCUAGCUCUGGGGCAACACCGGGAAACCGGUGCUAAUACCGGAUACGACAUCGAGCGGCAUCUCUCGAUGUGGAAAGUUUUUUCGGCUAGGGAUGGGCCCGCGGCCUAUCAGCUUGUUGGUGGGGUAAUGGCCCACCAAGGCGACGACGGGUAGCCGGCCUGAGAGGGCGACCGGCCACACUGGGACUGAGACACGGCCCAGACUCCUACGGGAGGCAGCAGUGGGGAAUAUUGCGCAAUGGGCGAAAGCCUGACGCAGCGACGCCGCGUGAGGGAUGACGGCCUUCGGGUUGGAAACCUCUUUCAGCAGGGACGAAUUCAGACGGUACCUGCAGAAGAAGCACCGGCCAACUACGUG